RNAcentral lists this small RNA (127 nucleotides) under Marmota monax (woodchuck). Lineage: Eukaryota; Metazoa; Chordata; Mammalia; Rodentia; Sciuridae. The record is from RNAcentral.
GCCGGACAGGGUGGUGUGCGUCUGUAAUCCCAGCAGCUUAGGAGGCUGAGGCAGGAGGAUCUCAAGUUCAAAGCUAGCCUCAGCAACUUGGCGAGGCUCUAAGCAAUUCAACAAGACCUUGUCUCUA